UACAACCAUUACGCCAGCAUCCUAGCCGAAGCGCGGACCUCAGUCCCGGCUGGCCGUAUUACACCCUGGGCUAUAACACCUCCACCGAAGUGGAGGCCACAUUCCCAGAGCCUUUAUCCGGCCGCCGAAACUGAUGCUGGCCUGUCCAAACUGAGUAAACCGGUCAGAAGACCGGCCGAACAGUUUAAACAAGUCUGAUUGCAAGCGCUUCCCUUUCAACAAUUUCACGUGCUUUUUAACUCUCUUUCCAAAGUGCUUUUCAUCUUUCGAUCACUCUACUUGUGCGCUAUCGGUCUCUCGCCAAUAUUUAGCUUUAGAAGAAAUUUACCUCCCAUUUAGAGCUGCAUUCCCAAACAACUCGACUCGUCGAAGGAGAUUUACAUAGGGUGCCAUUUCCUGUCACAUACGGGAUUCUCACCCUCUAUGACGUCCUGUUCCAAGGAACUUAGACAGGCGGCUUCCCCAAAUCAUCCUCUACAAAUUACAAUGCGAACCCGAAGGCUAGCUUUCAAAUUUGAGCUGUUGCCGCUUCACUCGCCGUUACUAGGGCAAUCCCUGU
Molecule: ribosomal RNA, 559 nt
Filed under: Aureobasidium proteae
Lineage: Eukaryota; Fungi; Ascomycota; Dothideomycetes; Dothideales; Saccotheciaceae
Description: partial 26S ribosomal RNA
Source: RNAcentral